This 416-nucleotide unclassified non-coding RNA is filed under the name Hevea brasiliensis (rubber tree). Lineage: Eukaryota; Viridiplantae; Streptophyta; Magnoliopsida; Malpighiales; Euphorbiaceae. The record is from RNAcentral.
UUCAACUUUCACUAUUUUAAUUUCUAUUUGAAUACAGUAUAUAGGCUAUCCACUAUAGGCCAAUCGAAAGUAGCCCCAUACAUGUACCCCUACUUAUCAAGUACAUGCAACAAUGGCAACUUGCCCAAACAGAGGAUAUUAUCUUGACUCAGUUUUCAACAUUGCAGUGUUAGCUGAUAAACUUUUUCAUUCCCCUUUUACAAUAUUCAAUGUCAAUUUGUGAAUAUUAGGCCAGGCUUAGACAGUUAGACCCAUUUACUUGUCCUCUCAACCAUAAAUCAUUUAUUGGGUUGCUCAUGAUGCUAGAGUUGGAUCUUUACCUUUGGGCUGGGUUUCCAACCCUCGCCCUCUUCUAGCAUCUCCAGUUGUCAAGGAUAGCAUAUUUCCUCGUUUUCUUGAAUGAAAGAUCUUCCUUU